Molecule: ribosomal RNA, 253 nt
Filed under: uncultured Zavarzinella sp.
Lineage: Bacteria; Pseudomonadati; Planctomycetota; Planctomycetia; Gemmatales; Gemmataceae
Description: partial 16S ribosomal RNA
Rfam family: Bacterial small subunit ribosomal RNA
Source: RNAcentral
GACGAACCGAGCGAACGUUGUUCGGAAUCACUGGGCUUAAAGGGCGCGUAGGCGGGUGACUAAGUCUGUGGUGAAAUCCGGCAGCUCAACUGUCGAAUUGCCAUGGAUACUGGUCGUCUCGAGGGAGGCAGGGGUGCGCGGAACUAAUGGUGGAGCGGUGAAAUGCGUUGAUAUCAUUAGGAACUCCGGUGGCGAAGGCGGCGCACUGGUCCUCUUCUGACGCUGAGGCGCGAAAGCCAGGGGAGCAAACGGG